Molecule: ribosomal RNA, 271 nt
Filed under: uncultured archaeon
Lineage: Archaea
Description: partial 16S ribosomal RNA
Rfam family: Archaeal small subunit ribosomal RNA
Source: RNAcentral
CAGCGCCACGAGUGGCAACCGCGAUUAUUGGGCCUAAAGCGUCCGUAGCCGGCCUUGUAAAUCCUUUGUGAAAUUGAGCGGCUUAACCGACCAACGUGCAAGGGAGACUGCAAGGCUUGAGACCGGGAGGAGUCAGAAGUAUUCCUGAGGGAGCGGUAAAAUGUUUUAAUCUCAGGAGGACUACCUGUGGCGAAGGCGUCUGACCAGAACGGAUCUGACGGUGAGGGACGAAAGCCAGGGGAGCGAACCGGAUUAGAUACCCGAGUAGUCC